This 298-nucleotide unclassified non-coding RNA is filed under the name Hevea brasiliensis (rubber tree). The record is from RNAcentral. Lineage: Eukaryota; Viridiplantae; Streptophyta; Magnoliopsida; Malpighiales; Euphorbiaceae.
AAUUUAUUAGUUGUGUAAAUAUUUCCGUUACUAGAUUCUUGAUUUGGCAUUAUUAAUUGAAAGAGAUAUAUGAGACUUUCUUUCCUUUUCUUUGUCUGCUAAAUGAAUAAAGAAUGAGUGAUUAAUUAACGGGGAAUGUUGCCUCUUGCGUUCAUGCAGCUUACAGAAAUGGGCUCUUGCAUUCUACUCUUCAAUUCAACUCUCUUUUACUUUUGACUCCAUAUUGUUCUUCCUUAUUAUGGAGGUUAUGCUUUUUCACUGAUUAAACUUAUUUUCUUAAGUCAAAUCAAAUCUGUUA